Molecule: ribosomal RNA, 376 nt
Filed under: uncultured bacterium
Lineage: Bacteria
Description: bacterial SSU rRNA
Rfam family: Bacterial small subunit ribosomal RNA
Source: RNAcentral
GUAGUCCACGCCGUAAACGAUGAGCACUAGGUGUCGGGGGCGCAAGCUUUCGGUGCCGUAGUUAACGCAUUAAGUGCUCCGCCUGGGGAGUACGCACGCAAGUGUGAAACUCAAAGGAAUUGACGGGGACCCGCACAAGCAGCGGAGCAUGUGGUUUAAUUCGAAGCAACGCGAAGAACCUUACCAGGACUUGACAUCCCUUUGACCGCACCGUAACGGGUGCUUCCCUUCGGGGCAGAGGAGACAGGUGGUGCAUGGUUGUCGUCAGCUCGUGUCGUGAGAUGUUGGGUUAAGUCCCGCAACGAGCGCAACCCUUGUCAUUAGUUGCCAGCAUUUCGGAUGGGCACUCUAGUGAGACUGCCGGGGAUAACUCGGA